CCAGGCUCCAGCUACCCGUGUCAUCUUCUAUAAGGACGGGGAGGAGGUUUCAUCCCAGAUUGGUUCGGAGGAGAAAGUCACCUAUGGCUAUGACCAUGUGGUGUCCACGGGCAGCUCCGGGAAUUACUCCUGUGGGUACGAGAUUAAGGACAGAGACAACCAGGUGAUCAGAUCCCAGCUCAGCCCUGCCCAGCACCUCAGCAUCACUGGCCCUGAUCUGAAGCUCUUACUGGGAAUUACAAUCCCUGCCGUUGUGGUUCUGGCUGUGGUGCUUUAUCUUCUGAGAAAGAAAGUUGUGUCUCUACCAAGAGAUCAAAGGGAACGAGUCCAGCGUGACACUAGCAACACACCUGAAGAUCAUAUUGAAUGCGCCUCUGUGGAUUCUCUGGGAACCCCCAGGAAAGAAGAGACUUCGAUAUACGCGAACGUCAUUCCGCGGCGGGACAGAUGUCAUUAAUGCUCCACUUGCUGAAAUGCAGGAGUCGUCAGUGCGCAGCCACAUCACAGAACCUCCAAGGGGGCCAUACAGCAAGGAAGUGGGGGAUCUUCUCCAGGACCACAGCAGGACAAUGCACAGCACCCAAAGUGCUGUAGGA
Molecule: long non-coding RNA, 596 nt
Organism: Mauremys reevesii (Reeves's turtle)
Lineage: Eukaryota; Metazoa; Chordata; Testudines; Geoemydidae
Exons: 6
Source: RefSeq, a predicted model, not a curated record